UCAAAACGUUCUGCCCAUGUCACCAUGGCGGCUCGUCUGCUCGAGCCCACGCACAGCAGCGCAGCAAGUCUGAUGCCUACUGUACUCAUCAUAUCAGGUUUUCCGUGGUACACGAGUGAGCUGGCGGUGCACCGCUACCUCACGGAUGUCUACCCGGCUGCGGAGCCAGUGACCACGCGACUCUACACGAACCCCACGAAUGGCGCGAGCAGAGGGCACUGCUUUGUGGAGUACAACCUGCCACCCUCCUCCGCAGCGCCGUGCACCUCUGCGGUCGCAGCAGCAACGGCGAACAGCUUGAACGGCACCGAUGUGAGGGCCAUAGCAGGCGGCUUCACCGCCCAGGGGAACAGCAGCGGCGGCAAUGGCGCGGUGGACGCGCUACUGCCGCCUGUUCUCCGGGAGGUGAAGCGGCGCGUUGAGGAGCACCCGUACGAAUGCGUGUACUUGAAAGUGCACGCCUACGUCCUGACAUCGCAGCGGUGGAGCCGCGCCGGCCGGCUCCCGGAGUUGCCCACCGACCCCCCGGCAGCUCUCUGGCGUGGCAGGGCUGGCGUCCUCGUCGGCUAUGGCGAUGAAGGCUUCUCGGUGCGUGCCGGGCGGGAGCUGGGCCUGCCGAACACGGUGACCGCCGACGGGAAGCUUCAGCUGGAGCGGCUGCGCAAGCGCCUCCGCACAACGUCCGCUCGGCGUGCGUCGGGCCACCUCUCCGCGGAGUAGAGGCAGCAGUGUUCGCCAGCGUUUGCGGCUGCAGUUUAUCUGCGCACGUACACCCGGGCCCCGCUGGCGCGUGCUGCUAUCGCUGUCAGUGCCGCUCCAUCGCACACUUGCAUGUGGGCGUACGAGCCACGGAUAAGGUCGAGGUCGCUUCGCGGGCCUGUGUGCGUGCUUACCUACGAAUGCAUUAGCCGCCCUGUCAGUUGCGCAGAGGGCGAGACGCGCAAAACUGUGCCGCGCAUGAGUAACACAAUGACUAGCUUGAAGAUGUGCGGUUGUGUUUGUGCUGCGUGGGGGCAGGGGCAUGGCCUUCAUUGCUCGACGCUUGUGGUCGCCUUUCGCGCCGUGCAGUGCUCGAGGCAAGCCAAGACAAUGUAAGCAGGCCUCUGCUCCGCCCAGCAUUGCCUCCUCUUCGCCUCGCUGGCAUCCCUUUGACCCCGCUGAGGAGUGACUUGCACCCUUCUCGCCCUCUUUCCCUCGGCCCUCCCCUCGCGUUACCCCACACACCGACACACACCCGCCUGCCUCUCUGCCAG
Molecule: unclassified non-coding RNA, 1253 nt
Filed under: Leishmania donovani
Lineage: Eukaryota; Euglenozoa; Kinetoplastea; Trypanosomatida; Trypanosomatidae
Description: gene:LdHU3.25.2480(CDS-product:hypothetical_prote in_conserved)
Source: RNAcentral